AGUGAACGCUGGCGGUAGGCCUAACACAUGCAAGUCGAACGGCAGCACAGUAAGAGCUUGCUCUUACGGGUGGCGAGUGGCGGACGGGUGAGGAAUACAUCGGAAUCUACUUUUUCGUGGGGGAUAACGUAGGGAAACUUACGCUAAUACCGCAUACGGCCUACGGGUGAAAGCAGGGGAUCUUCGGACCUUGCGCGAUUGAAUGAGCCGAUGUCGGAUUAGCUAGUUGGCGGGGUAAAGGCCCACCAAGGCGACGAUCCGUAGCUGGUCUGAGAGGAUGAUCAGCCACACUGGAACUGAGACACGGUCCAGACUCCUACGGGAGGCAGCAGUGGGGAAUAUUGGACAAUGGGCGCAAGCCUGAUCCAGCCAUACCGCGUGGGUGAAUAAGGCCUUCGGGUUGUAAAGCCCUUUUGUUGGGAAAGAAAAGCAGCAGGUUAAUACCCCGCUGUUCUGACGGUACCCAAAGAAUAAGCACCGGCUAACUUCGUG
This 492-nucleotide ribosomal RNA is filed under the name uncultured bacterium. Its description in RNAcentral is "partial 16S ribosomal RNA". It matches the Rfam family "Bacterial small subunit ribosomal RNA", at positions 29 to 507 of the family's 1533-position model. The record is from RNAcentral.